UUGACGGGGCCCGCACAAGCGGUGGAGCAUGUGGUUUAAUUCGAAGCAACGCGAAGAACCUUACCAGGUCUUGACAUCCCCUGACAACCCGAGAGAUCGGGCGUUCCCCUUCGGGGGACAGGGUGACAGGUGGUGCAUGGUUGUCGUCAGCUCGUGUCGUGAGAUGUUGGGUUAAGUCCCGCAACGAGCGCAACCCUCGACCUUAGUUGCCAUCAUUCAGUUGGGCACUCUAGCGAGACUGCCGGUAAUAAACCGGAGGAAGGUGGGGAUGACGUCAAAUCAUCAUGCCCCUUAUGACCUGGGCUACACACGUGCUACAAUGGUUGGUACAACGAGAAGCGAGGGGGCGACCUUGAGCGGAUCCCUCAAAGCCGGUCUCAGUUCGGAUUGCAGUCUGCAACUCGACUGCAUGAAGUUGGAAUCGCUAGUAAUCGUGGAUCAGCCAAGCCGCGGUGAAUACGUUCCCGGGCCUU
Molecule: ribosomal RNA, 473 nt
Filed under: uncultured Caryophanaceae bacterium
Lineage: Bacteria; Bacillati; Bacillota; Bacilli; Caryophanales; Caryophanaceae
Description: bacterial SSU rRNA
Rfam family: Bacterial small subunit ribosomal RNA
Source: RNAcentral